GGAGGAGCUUGAUGCUGUGGUUGA
RNAcentral lists this non-coding RNA (24 nucleotides) under Arabidopsis thaliana (thale cress). The record is from RNAcentral. Lineage: Eukaryota; Viridiplantae; Streptophyta; Magnoliopsida; Brassicales; Brassicaceae.